Molecule: non-coding RNA, 5135 nt
Organism: Schizosaccharomyces pombe (fission yeast)
Lineage: Eukaryota; Fungi; Ascomycota; Schizosaccharomycetes; Schizosaccharomycetales; Schizosaccharomycetaceae
Source: the annotation of a GenBank genome assembly
CGAACGUUGUAAGUAGCAGCGCCAGGUCGAAGAGUGAAAGCAGGAGUCAGCAAGGGAGUCAAGUCAAGAAGCUUUGACUUGUUGUUAAUUGGCUCGGCGACCUUAAGCUUGUCAGAACGACCAACCAUCUCAUUAAUAGUUCGGAAACCAAGUUUAGCCAUAAUUCCACGGAGCUCUUCUGCGACGUAGUAGAAAAAGUUUACAACGUGCUCCGGUUGACCCUCAAAUUUCUUCCUCAAUUCAGGAUCUUGAGUUGCGAUACCAACGGGACAAGUAUUCAGAUGACAUUUACGCAUCAUGAUACAGCCCAAUGCAAUCAAAGGAGUAGUCGCAAACCCCCAUUCUUCAGCACCAAGCAAGCAAGCGAUAGCAACAUCACGACCGGUACGAAUUUGACCAUCAGUUUGGAUAACAACUCGCCCACGAAGGUCGUUCAAUACCAAAGUUUGAUGGGUUUCGGCAACACCUAGCUCCCAUGGUAAACCAGCGUAUUUAAUACCAGUCCAACGAGAGGCACCGGUACCACCAUCAUGACCUGAAACCAAAAUAUGAUCUGCUUUGGCUUUUGCAACACCAGAAGCAACAAUACCGACACCUACUUCAGAAACAAGCUUAACGGAUACACGAGCACGAGGGUUGGCACUCUUCAUGUCAUAAAUCAACUGCUUCAAAUCUUCAAUAGAGUAGAUAUCAUGAUGAGGAGGAGGAGAAAUCAAACCAACACCAGCAGUGGAAUGACGAGUUUUCGCAAUUGAUUCACUCACCUUAUUACCAGGCAAUUCACCACCCUCACCAGGCUUGGCACCUUGAGCCAUUUUAAUUUGAAGCUCAUCAGCAUCAGACAAGUACCAAGAAGUAACACCGAAACGACCGGAUGCAAUCUGUUUGAUGGCAGAACGCAUUGUAUCGCCAUUGGCAAGACGCUGACUGCGAGCAGGGUCUUCACCACCUUCACCAGUGUUAGACUUACCGCCCAAACGAUUCAUGGCAAUGGCCAAAGAAGAAUGAGAUUCCAUACUGAUCGAACCGUAAGACAUAGCACCAGUGCAGAAACGGCGAACAAUCUCAGUCCAAGGCUCAACCUGUUCAAUGGGAAUAGCUUGAGAAGAAUCAAAAUCGAAAUCCAACAUACCACGAAGAGUACACCUCCUAGUUUGUUCGUAGUGUGUACGAGAGAAUUCCGCAUAAGCAGCCUCGUUCUUAUUGCGGACGGCAUCUUGAAGACUGGCGAUAGCCUUUGGAUGGUUGACGUGCUGCUCACCACCAUCACGAUAGUAAAAGUCACCCAUAUCGGGGAUUUGAAGACUGCGAAUGGAUUGAUCGGUUGGAUAUCCACGCUCAUGAAGAGCAAAAGCAUCAAGAGCAAUAUGCUCAAAAGUUACACCACGGAUACGGGAUGCGGUACCAAGGAAACAUUUGUUGAUGACCUCGUUGUCAAUGCCAAGAGCCUCAAAAAUCUGGGCACCUUUAUAUGAUUGCAAAGUUGAAAUACCCAUCUUGGACAUAACCUUCAAAAUACCGCCAUUGAUAGCAUGCUUGAAAUUCUUUAUGGCAGUUUCUUCUGUGAUGCCAGGUUUCAUUGCGUUCUGUCUGACUAGCUUUGUUAAAGCUUCCAUGGCUAAAUAGGGACAAACGGCAUCGGCACCAUAGCCAAGAAGUGUGCACAUAUGGUGAACUUCACGCGCGUCACCAGAUUCACAAACAAGAGCAACUCUAGAACGCAAUUUGUUUUGUACCAAAUAAUGAUGAACGGCACCGCAUGCGGCAAUGGAAGCCAAAGGUACGCGCUCACUGUUAACGUUACGGUCGGAAAGGACUAUAGCUUUAUAGCCCUCAUUGACGGCAGUAUCAGCUUCGGAACAAAUACGCUCGAUGGCGGCAGCAUAGCCAGCAACGCCUUCACUCUUGAAAAAAGUGAUGUCGAUAGAAGCGACUUUCCAGUCAGGGUAAAUACGGUCAACAUUUUUCAAAGCAUUGAACUCCUCAACAGUCAAAAUGGGAGUAGGCAUGCGGAGACGACGACAUUGGCUUUGAUUAAUUUCAAGCAAGUUACCACUAGGACCGAUGUAGCAUUGCAAACUCAUUACGAUAGCCUCACGAAUAGGAUCAAUAGGAGGAUUAGUGACUUGAGCGAAAAGUUGACGGAAAUAGUCGUAAAGUAAACGAGGCUGGUCGGAAAGGCAUGCGAUUGCAGCAUCAUUACCCAUACUUCCCAAAGUUUCCUUGCCGCCAUUAGCCAUGGGAGCCAUAAUCAUGUUAAUCUGUUCCAAAGUGUAACCAAAUGCUAACAUGGUUUUGUCAUCGGCAAGAGGAACAUCAUCGACAAUGGGAGUAAGAUCAACGCUAGUGGAUUCUAUAAGAGAGUCAACAAUCGAGUUCAUGUCGAUAAGCUCUUGGUCGAGCCAACUACGGAAGUCGUAGCGACUGGCAAUGUUGUGCUUGAGCUCCUUAUCGUCGACAAUACGACCCUCUUUGGUGUCAACAAGCAACAUACGGCCUGGAUAUAGACGACCUUUCUGAACGAUGCGGUCAGGUUCAAUGCCGACUGUACCAACUUCAGAAGCGCAAAUCAUCAUGUCAUCGGAAGUAAGAUAGAAACGGCAAGGGCGAAGACCGUUACGAUCAAGAUUGGCACCGCAAUAGCGACCGUCGGCAAAUGUAAACAAAGCAGGACCAUCCCAAGGCUCCAUUUGACAAGCAGCCCACUCGUAAAAAGCAGCCUUCUCGUCGCUGAUGUUUUUGUCGUUUUGCCAAGCUUCAGGAAUCAAGAGCAUGACAGCUUCGGGUAAGGAGACAACACCGCUAGCACAUAACAACUCAAUAACGUUAUCAAAAGCAGCGGAGUCCGAACCACCGCGCUCGAUGAUGGGAAGCAAAGAGGCGAACUCUUCGCCAAAACGACUGGACUUCAUCAAGCCUUCACGAGCAUGCAUCCAAUUUUUGUUACCACGUAGGGUGUUAAUUUCACCGUUGUGAGCGGCCAAUCUCAUGGGUUGAGCACGGUCCCAGGACGGGAAAGUGUUUGUAGAGAAACGGGAGUGAACGAGGGCAAAGUGGGAUACAUACUCGGCGUUGUUCAAAUCAAGGAAAUAAUUGUAGACUUGAACAGGAGCAAGUUGACCCUUAUAGACAAUGGUCUCACGAUGCAAAGAGCAAAUGUAGAACCAUUUUUCCUUACCGAUCAAAUGAGAAGACUGCUUGCGAAGAACGUAAAGCUGUCUUUCGAAGAGAUCGGUAUCAAACUCGGCUUCACCAUCGUAAGCGGCCUUGAGGACAACACAAGGCUGUAAGAUGGUAGGCUCACGAGAAAGAGCAGCGGGGCCCAAGAUGCUGUUAUCACAAGGGACGGAACGCCAAGCAAGGAUUGCAAGACCAAGUUUUUCGGCGACUUGGGUGAAAGCGGUCAUGGCUUCACGACAAACGUCGGCUUCAGGAGAGAAAAACACAUUACCGAUGGCAUACUCGCCGCUUUUGGGAAGGGUACAUCCGAUUUGACCAAACUCCUUUUGCAUAAAAGUGUAAGGCAUACCGGUCAUGACACCUGCACCAUCACCAUCACGAGUAUCGGCACCAGUGGCACCACGAUGAGUCAUGUUGCACAAAAGUAAGCGAGCAUCGGUGACGAUUUUGUGAGAGACUUGACCCUUGAUGUGACAAGUGAAACCAACACCGCAAGAGUCUUUUUCGUAGGCAGGAUCGUAUAAAGCUUGAGCCUUGGGAAGGGCACCAGCCCAAGAGGGAUUUCCCUCAGUAUCAUACUCAUAGGGAGGAGCAUUGAGAAGGUCAUCGGAACAAGCGGUCGUGUUCACUUGUUCGUCACGAGCCUCAACGAGGGCAGAGUUAUGAUUGAUGGGUUGGACUGAAGAUAAGACAGCCAUUUUUUCAAAAAGGGAAGAAUGAAAAAGAAAAAAAUAAUAAUAGUUGGUGUGUUUGAAAAAUCGUUAAAAAACGUAAAAGAGGAAAAAAAAGGAAACAAAGAAUAUACACACACACACAAAGUAAACAACGAAAAAAGGAAAACUAAAAGAAGACUAGACAAGAAAAAAGCAGUACAAGAUUUUCACAAGCUAGAAUUGGUAUAUCGUAUAUAUAUAUAUAUAUAUAUAUAUAUAUGCGUGUUUCAAAACAAAGCGACUACCUAACCCAAUGAUUAAAAAAAAAUAACAAGGUAAAAAGGUAGAGGGAGUGAGGACAAGUAAGAAAAUGAAACAAACUAGUCGCAAGAGAGAAAAAAAAAUAAGAAAAAUAAAGGACCGUUAUGUAUAAUAAAAACAAUAGAUUAGAUUAAAUAAACAACCAAAAACGUCCCGAUAUUGCGAGGAAAAAAAAAGGGAAACAGCCAGAAGCGUGCACGAAAAAAAGAUCUCCUAUUUUUUUUAUAAAAAAAAAAAAAAAAGAGAAAAGAAAUAGCCAACUAACGUGCGCGUACGGUAUAAAGAGAGGGGAUUCUUUUCAAUUGCUGAAAAGAAUUUUUAAAGGAAGAGAAAGAGAAAAAGAGGAAAGGAAAAAAAGAAAAGAAGAGGAUGAAUGAAUACACAAUGGAAUUCAAGUACUAAGGGGAUCACCAACUUUUCUUUUAGUUGCUCUAUACUGCUCUGCUCUGCUCUACUUGCUUUGCUUUGCUCUAUACUGCUCUGCUUAGCUUGCUGUUUGUUUUUGCUUGCUGGCGAAAGGAGACUGACUAAGAAAAGGUUUUUUGAGGAGGAUUUGUUGCGCUUUUGUAUGGAUACGAUCAAGAUAAUCAAUUACGUUAGCCCACCAAUCACGAAAGAGUCAAUAUUUUCCACGGGCCAAUCAAUCCGACCAUGUUGGUUCAGGCUCGAUAGCCCUGAUCCUCGGAAAAGCAGCGUGCAAAAGCCGCUACAAUGCAAAUUUCAACUUUGGAUCGGGUGACAUGUGACUCAGAGGGGAGACGAGGCAGAAGCAGCAGGCGAGCGCAAAAGUAAACAGAGAAACGCAGCAAGAGAAGAGAAAAAAGGAAGAGAAAGAAAAAAUGAAAGAGAAGAAAAAAAGUAAAUUGAAGAAAAGCAUUGUAUAAUAACAUUUAAAAUGGGAGAAAAAGAAAGAUCAAUAGAAUAGAAUAGUAUAGAAAUGCAGUAAUGAAUGACAAGAAACCAGGGAGCAUCAGACAUGUU